GGCGGCAUAGCUCAGUUGGUUAGAGCAGCGGAAUCAUAAUCCGCGUGUCGGGGGUUCGAAUCCCUCUGCCGCUAC
This 75-nucleotide transfer RNA is filed under the name Mariniblastus fucicola. Its description in RNAcentral is "tRNA-Met". It matches the Rfam family "tRNA". Rfam says of the family: Transfer RNA (tRNA) molecules are approximately 80 nucleotides in length. Their secondary structure includes four short double-helical elements and three loops (D, anti-codon, and T loops). Further hydrogen bonds mediate the characteristic L-shaped molecular structure. tRNAs have two regions of fundamental functional importance: the anti-codon, which is responsible for specific mRNA codon recognition, and the 3' end, to which the tRNAs corresponding amino acid is attached (by aminoacyl-tRNA synthetases). tRNAs cope with the degeneracy of the genetic code in two manners: having more than one tRNA (with a specific anti-codon) for a particular amino acid; and 'wobble' base-pairing, i.e. permitting non-standard base-pairing at the 3rd anti-codon position. The record is from RNAcentral. Lineage: Bacteria; Pseudomonadati; Planctomycetota; Planctomycetia; Pirellulales; Pirellulaceae.